This 251-nucleotide ribosomal RNA is filed under the name uncultured bacterium. RNAcentral describes it as "partial 16S ribosomal RNA". It matches the Rfam family "Bacterial small subunit ribosomal RNA", at positions 524 to 776 of the family's 1533-position model. The record is from RNAcentral.
UACGUAGGGUGCAAGCGUUAAUCGGAAUUACUGGGCGUAAAGCGUGCGCAGGCGGUUGUGCAAGACCGAUGUGAAAUCCCCGGGCUAACCUGGGAACUGCAUUUGUGACUGCAAGGCUGGAGUGCGGCAGAGGGGGAUGGAAUUCCGCGUGUAGCAGUGAAAUGCGUAGAUAUGCGGAGGAACACCGAUGGCGAAGGCAAUCCCCUGGGCCGCACUGACGCUCAUGCACGAAAGCGUGGGGAGCAAACAGG